AUCAUAAAAUAACUUUCCAGUUUGACUUUUGAAAGUUGUAGUUUAGCAAUAAAGCAGAUUUAAUUUUUCUCCACUACCUUAAUAAAAGCUUGUGAAUUUGUUGCAGAGAAAAUACAGUAGAAGCCCUCUUAUCCAAAAUGAUUGAGACCAGCAGUUUAGUUAAUCAAAAAAACCCAUGUAAGCAUCUAGCAGUUGCUUACUAUUAUAAAUGAUGGAAUAAAUAUCUUUGUUGGAAUAAAUAUCUUUGUUGAUUUCAACUUUUAUAGUGAAUUCCAUAAGAACUCUAUACCCAGAUUGAAAAGUGCUUAUUAACAUUUUGCCCUGUGUG
Molecule: long non-coding RNA, 328 nt
Organism: Myotis brandtii (Brandt's bat)
Lineage: Eukaryota; Metazoa; Chordata; Mammalia; Chiroptera; Vespertilionidae
Exons: 3
Source: RefSeq, a predicted model, not a curated record